UACGUAGGGGGCAAGCGUUGUCCGGAUUUAUUGGGCGUAAAGAGCGUGUAGGCGACCUGAAAGGUCAGCUGUGAAAACUCGAGGCUCAACCUCGAGACGUCGGUUGAAACCAUCUGGCUAGAGUCCGGAAGAGGAGUGUGGAAUUCCCGGUGUAGCGGUGAAAUGCGCAGAUAUCAGGAGGAACACCGGUGGCGAAGGCGGAUCUCUGGGCCGAUACUGACGCUGAGGAGCGAAAGCGUGGGGAGCGAACAGG
Molecule: ribosomal RNA, 253 nt
Filed under: uncultured bacterium
Lineage: Bacteria
Description: partial 16S ribosomal RNA
Rfam family: Bacterial small subunit ribosomal RNA
Source: RNAcentral